ACCUUCGUGGUGUAGUGGUCAGCACACUCGGCGCGUAUUCGAGAGGUCCGUGGUUCGAGUCCCGGCGAGGACA
RNAcentral lists this transfer RNA (73 nucleotides) under Stegodyphus mimosarum. It matches the Rfam family "tRNA". Rfam says of the family: Transfer RNA (tRNA) molecules are approximately 80 nucleotides in length. Their secondary structure includes four short double-helical elements and three loops (D, anti-codon, and T loops). The record is from Rfam by way of RNAcentral. Lineage: Eukaryota; Metazoa; Arthropoda; Arachnida; Araneae; Eresidae.